Molecule: long non-coding RNA, 788 nt
Organism: Pezoporus flaviventris
Lineage: Eukaryota; Metazoa; Chordata; Aves; Psittaciformes; Psittacidae
Exons: 2
Source: RefSeq, a predicted model, not a curated record
UUGGAGACUGACAGUUUCUCUUUGCCCAUUGCAUGGCAGGGAUUUGUUCAUACAGGGGUUGUGUCCCACCUUACUUUGUCUACACAGGCUGGAUCUUUCUCUGGAGGCAGUGUGGGGUGAGCAACAAUUGUCUGUCUAAGGCAAAAGGAUUUACAGCAUCAUUUGUCAUCAUUUAAAGAUAAAUGAAAAGGACACUUUUGCUGAUGAGUCUACAAAGGUAAGUCCUGUUUCUUCCCCUUACUUUCUCCUUCCAUUACUUUUCUAUGAGGACACAGUAGCAAGAGCCAAGGCAGAAGAUGUGCAAAACAAAAAAGACCUUUUCCAAGGUUCCAAAAGGUCAGUUUCCAAGGCAGAGAUGUGGAUGCUGGGGCUCAUUUCACCCAGCCUGAGCUGCACCACCAGGUCCCGUUUGUCUCAGUGUUUUUGUUGAACCCCUCACUUCACCAGUCCUCAUCCCUGUGUGAGGCCAGGAGGGAGGUAGAUGUGAAUGAGCCCACACUGCAGACAUUCUGGAUCCUGUUCCCUGGUUGUGUACACACACUGGGAUACACGUGUUUCCACAAGUAGCAGCUUUUGGCCAAGAGGAGGAAGUUAAACAAGGAAAGAGUCAGCAAGAGCCUGUUGCUCAAUCAACUGUAUGGGAGAGCCAUGCCCUCCCGUAUGAGAGAGGCUGCACUACCUCAUACAGCACAGAGACCCAGGAGGACUCACCUUUGCCAUGUGCUGGCUUCCUGGAUGAUGGGAGAGGGUUUGGGAUGAGAAAAACAUGAAUAAACCAAGAAAAUUUC